Molecule: long non-coding RNA, 1335 nt
Filed under: Anas platyrhynchos platyrhynchos (common mallard)
Lineage: Eukaryota; Metazoa; Chordata; Aves; Anseriformes; Anatidae
Description: lncRNA (ENSAPLG00000017597.1)
Source: RNAcentral
AUGUCAGGCAUAUGUCUUCUUUCAUCAGGUAAUGGAGGCUGGGACUCUACACUGAGCUUCAGAAGUUCUGCCAAGAGUGAAGUCAUUGUCACACUUCCCAAUUGUUUUGAUUCAUUCGAUGUCCCUUGUACAUUGGAAGCAGUUUGUCAGCAUUGUGAAAUGGUUGGUGUGAUACUGACGGCUUGUCAGAGGCAUUCUGCAGACACAAGAGUUACAUGUUGAUCCAAAGAGCUGCCUUUUAUCCUCAGCAUUACAUGAAUGGAAGUCUGCUUAGGAGCCAAACCAACUAGUGGCUGAAAGUGAAAUCUCAGAUAGUGGAAAAAGUCCUGUGAUUUGAGGCUUUGAGAUAAAAGAAAGACUUCCACCCCAACAGAUAUCAGGGGUGAAUCUGCCACCUGGAAAAGUGGCUUGAGAAGGAAAGGAAGGAGGUACAGCUAAUUCAUGAAUUUCAUUCAGAUUAGAACAUUUCCAACUAUAAUUAAAAGUUCAUCCAAAAUCACACCCUUCAUUUUAUUGUACUAUUUAAUUGCUUGCUGCAGCAACUUAUAUGAAUCAGUCAUGAUAAUGAUAAGCGGUUCAAUUACCUGUAAACCCAGUACUUGCUCUCUUUGCUUUGUAAGAUAAAGCCUCUCCAGUGCUAAUAUGAGAUCCAAGCUGUGUCUCAAAGUCUCACACAUCUUUAAUGGACUGCAGUGUACUGACAAUUAAUUAUCGGCAAGGGAGAAAGUGUAGUCAAGCUGAAUGCAAAUGCCCACCAAAUUGCAGUCCAAAGAUACCAUAAUAACAUCUUUCAUGACGGGGUUACCCGUGAUUACUUAGUAUCACAGGUACAAUCAACUCAGUCCAUUAUUGCUAAAGUAUAUCAUAAAGCAGAAGUGUGAUUAUAUUCAUAGAAAAAUCAGUGGGAGAAGUAAUUUUUUUUUUUUCCCCCACAGGCAUGUCCCAUAUCAGUGAGAAUUUAUAACAUAUCACUCUUAGAAAGCAAGUAAAUAAUUAAGGAACCUGAAUCAGAAGAUCUACAAACGUAAAAACACUUUAGGCAUUUUUUCUCCUUCCUAGUCUUAUGGACAAAAAUGAUCUGAUGAGUCCCUAGGGUAACUGCACCAGAUUCCUAAAGAUACACAAAAGAUAAUAUUGCUCAGUAUGCGGAGGUGGCAAAACUAAAAAUGAGCUGCUCUGAAAGUCAGUCAGUUUGCAAACCACCAAGGUGUAAGCUUUAACUAUCAUUUAUUCAGUGUCCUGGUGUUUGGUAAACUCUGUGUGAACAGGUUUCACCUUCCUACUCAGCUUCUGCUUACCAAUAAAUGAAGUACAAAGUUCUGAAAUUGCCCUUCU